Molecule: unclassified non-coding RNA, 329 nt
Filed under: soil metagenome
Description: partial contains 5.8S ribosomal RNA, internal transcribed spacer 2, and large subunit ribosomal RNA
Rfam family: 5.8S ribosomal RNA (bases 1-120)
Source: RNAcentral
GAUGAAGAACGCAGUGAAAUGUGAUAAGUAAUGUGAAUUGCAGAGUUCAGUGAAUCAUCGAAUCUUUGAACGCACAUUGCGCCCCUUGGUAUCCCGAGGGGCAUGCCUGUUCGAGCGUCAUUUCACCACUCAAGCCUGGCUUGGUGUUGGGCGACGUCCCCUUUGGGGACGCGCCUCGAAACGCUCGGCGGCGUGGCACCGGCUUUAAGCGUAGCAGAAUCUUUCGCUUUGGAAGUCGGGGCCCCGUCUGCCGGAAGACCUACUCGCAAGGUUGACCUCGGAUCAGGCAGGGAUACCCGCUGAACUUAAGCAUAUCAAUAAGCGGAGGA